RNAcentral lists this ribosomal RNA (253 nucleotides) under uncultured bacterium. RNAcentral describes it as "partial 16S ribosomal RNA". It matches the Rfam family "Bacterial small subunit ribosomal RNA", at positions 524 to 776 of the family's 1533-position model. The record is from RNAcentral.
UACGUAGGGUGCGAGCGUUGUCCGGAAUUAUUGGGCGUAAAGAGCUUGUAGGCGGUCUGUCGCGUCUGCUGUGAAAAUCCGGGGCUCAACCCCGGACUUGCAGUGGGUACGGGCAGACUAGAGUGUGGUAGGGGAGACUGGAAUUCCUGGUGUAGCGGUGAAAUGCGCAGAUAUCUGAAAGAACACCAGUGGCGAAGGCGGUCAACUGGCUUUUAACUGACGCUCAGGCACGAAAGCGUGGGUAGCGAACAGG